Molecule: long non-coding RNA, 1669 nt
Filed under: Lepisosteus oculatus (spotted gar)
Lineage: Eukaryota; Metazoa; Chordata; Actinopteri; Semionotiformes; Lepisosteidae
Description: lncRNA (ENSLOCG00000022737.1)
Source: RNAcentral
CGGGGCUUAACCCUACCCUUCGUGCCCUGUCCGAGUGGAAGCCCAGCGGCCAGAGUGAGUUCAUUCAGAAGCUCUCCCAGGUCAGCUGACUCGGGAAGCCUGUGAAUGGGGAGAGGAGAGAGGCAGCCUUUCGUCACGGAGCGAGCGGCGAGCGCAGGCUGACUGCCCCCUGCGCCCGUGGAGAGCGGGUCCCAGUAUGGGCUGAACUGGGCAGGAAAGCAGCAGCUCUUCCCCACUCGCCAUGGAUGAGCCAAACAUUUUGAGACGCCGUGGGCUGCAGAAGGAGCUGAGCCUUCCCAGAAGAGGCAGUGUUUUGUCUCCUACGUGCCAGAGCCCUACUCUGCUGAGCCCCUGCAGCCCCUGCAGCCCCUGCAGCCCGUUACUAACCCUGCACCCCUGGAGGUAAGACGCAUCCCCCCAUUGCACACGCUGGCACUGGGGCGGGCAGCCCCGGUCGUUCCCGAGCGAUUGAGAAACACUGAGUUACCAUCAUGCACUCUGGGGGUAGUGGGGAGGGGGGCCGAGCCUUGAAGGUCCAUGUCUUAAGAAAAGACAGACAGCUUUUUUGAGCCCUAAAACAAUCUACUGUGAGGUUACUUCCUUGUCCUGUAUGAACCCCAGGAUGCCAGGCUGGUCACAGCCAGGAGAACCUGAGUGAACCUGAGUGAGCCAUCUGGAGUUUCCAUAGGGGGUUAAGGUGGAGCAACACCUAAAAUGCUCUAGCCUGGGCCUUCAAAGGUUCAGCCUGAAUGGAGUAUAGGAAUUAUUCAUUUGUGACAUCAUAAUAAUGUGGAUACAUUGUAAGAUCAGCUGAUCCAAUACUUUUCUGGACAGAUGCUUACUGAAUGCGCAGUCAAAGAUAGAGAGACAGUAGAGGAAGUUUCCAUAAACUAGACACAGCAGCUGACUGGGCCAGAGCUUAGUCUGGUUUCCAUAGUGUUAAUAAGAACAGAGAGCAUGUGACACCCUCCCUGGAUGGGACACUGAUCACCCCCUAGUUAUACAGCUGGGUGGACUAGAGCUACUCAGGGUACAACAGCAGGGAUUCGAACCCACAACUCGCCAUAGAGGAGGGAGACAGCAUUUUGCUAAACACAUUUUGUGUGCCCUGAAUCAGUUCUCUAAUCAUAAAUAUCAGUCUCCUGAGAAAUGACACCUCAUAUGAGAGAAAAAAAAGAUUUGUGUGAAAGAAGCAGCAUGUCGAGAACAUUUUCCUGUGUUUGUAAUUCGAGAAACGUCAAGCCCAGCACGUUCCUUCACUUUGCAGACUCUCGCCAAUGAUUACAUGGGUUGCCUAGCAACCUCUAAUGAUACUGUGGAAAAAAAGAACUUCAAUAAAACAAGGUCAAUAGUAGCCAGGAAGCAUUUGGCACUAUUUGUGCUCAAUUAGAAGAUACAGCAGCGCAGAGGGAAGCCUGAUCUAUUGAUGAACCACCACAGGACAGGCUCCAGUGUUGAUCGAGCCAAGCCAUCUCUCUGAGUGACAGGUCUGUUGUGUUUAGAACACAAGAAAAAAUCUCAACAGAGUUAUAUUCAGGCACACAGGUAUAGGGGUGGGCUUGGCGGUGUGCGAAUUUGGCUACAGUUCUCUGAACCAUAACGAAUGUCGAGACCCUACAGUACUGACAAGACCCAGACAUACUUAUCUUCUGAGAUCUGACAAGUUCCA